CCAGACUCCUACGGGAGGCAGCAGUGGGGAAUAUUGGGCAAUGGGCGCAAGCCUGACUCAGCAACGCCGCGUGAAGGAAGAAGGCUUUCGGGUUGUAAACUUCUUUUCUCAGGGACGAAGAAAGUGACGGUACCUGAGGAAUAAGCCACGGCUAACUACGUGCCAGCAGCCGCGGUAAUACGUAGGUGGCAAGCGUUAUCCGGAUUUAUUGGGUGUAAAGGGCGUGUAGGCGGGAGCGCAAGUCAGAUGUGAAAACUCAGGGCUCAACCCUGAGCCUGCAUUUGAAACUGUGUUUCUUGAGUGCUGGAGAGGCAAUCGGAAUUCCGUGUGUAGCGGUGAAAUGCGUAGAUAUACGGAGGAACACCAGUGGCGAAGGCGGAUUGCUGGACUGCGACUGACGUUGAGGCCCGAAAGCGUGGGGAGCAAACAGGAUUAGAUACCCCCGUAC
RNAcentral lists this ribosomal RNA (448 nucleotides) under uncultured bacterium. RNAcentral's name for it is "bacterial SSU rRNA". It matches the Rfam family "Bacterial small subunit ribosomal RNA", at positions 331 to 793 of the family's 1533-position model. The record is from RNAcentral.